This 1005-nucleotide ribosomal RNA is filed under the name Staphylococcus sp. A4.8. RNAcentral describes it as "bacterial SSU rRNA". It matches the Rfam family "Bacterial small subunit ribosomal RNA", at positions 53 to 1043 of the family's 1533-position model. Lineage: Bacteria; Bacillati; Bacillota; Bacilli; Caryophanales; Staphylococcaceae. The record is from RNAcentral.
UCAUGCGCGAGCUAGCGUUCGAGGAGCUUGCUCCUUUGACGUUAGCGGCGGACGGGUGAGUAACACGUGGGUAACCUACCUAUAAGACUGGGAUAACUUCGGGAAACCGGAGCUAAUACCGGAUAAUAUUUCGAACCGCAUGGUUCGAUAGUGAAAGAUGGUUUUGCUAUCACUUAUAGAUGGACCCGCGCCGUAUUAGCUAGUUGGUAAGGUAACGGCUUACCAAGGCGACGAUACGUAGCCGACCUGAGAGGGUGAUCGGCCACACUGGAACUGAGACACGGUCCAGACUCCUACGGGAGGCAGCAGUAGGGAAUCUUCCGCAAUGGGCGAAAGCCUGACGGAGCAACGCCGCGUGAGUGAUGAAGGUCUUCGGAUCGUAAAACUCUGUUAUUAGGGAAGAACAUACGUGUAAGUAACUAUGCACGUCUUGACGGUACCUAAUCAGAAAGCCACGGCUAACUACGUGCCAGCAGCCGCGGUAAUACGUAGGUGGCAAGCGUUAUCCGGAAUUAUUGGGCGUAAAGCGCGCGUAGGCGGUUUUUUAAGUCUGAUGUGAAAGCCCACGGCUCAACCGUGGAGGGUCAUUGGAAACUGGAAAACUUGAGUGCAGAAGAGGAAAGUGGAAUUCCAUGUGUAGCGGUGAAAUGCGCAGAGAUAUGGAGGAACACCAGUGGCGAAGGCGACUUUCUGGUCUGUAACUGACGCUGAUGUGCGAAAGCGUGGGGAUCAAACAGGAUUAGAUACCCUGGUAGUCCACGCCGUAAACGAUGAGUGCUAAGUGUUAGGGGGUUUCCGCCCCUUAGUGCUGCAGCUAACGCAUUAAGCACUCCGCUGGGGGAGUACGACCGCCAGGUGAAACUCAAGGAAUUGACGGGGACCCGCACAAGCGUGGAGCAUGUGGUUUAAUUCGAAGCAACGCGAAGAACCUUACCAAAUCUUGACAUCCUUUGACAACUCUAGAGAUAGAGCCUUCCCCUUCGGGGGACAAAGUGACAGGUGGUG